RNAcentral lists this non-coding RNA (485 nucleotides) under Pongo abelii (Sumatran orangutan). Lineage: Eukaryota; Metazoa; Chordata; Mammalia; Primates; Hominidae. The record is from RNAcentral.
GGAAAUUGAAGUCUAAUAUGUCAAACAAUUGAUGCACAAAUUUAAUCAAGGUACACCAAGACCUCUGGCUUCUUCCCAGACAGCUGCUAAAUAUCAGCAAGGACAUGGCUAGAGAUCUUGAUUCUUGCUUUUUUUGAUGUUUCUAUGAAAGAACCGAGAGAGAUUUAUUCAGCAGGCAGUGUUUCCAAUGAGUGAAUUUUCUUUAAUAACUCCAAAUUCUUCAGGGAAAACUUUCACCCACACAGCAGUGUUGACUGCUGGUGCCCUGAGGGAAUUACGGCACAUAGUAAUAAAAGAUGUAUAGAAUUUCUACAUUAGCAACGUGAAGUCCAGCCCAGCACCCUAGUAUGGAGGACAGAUGGAGUUCCAGAAGGUAGAAGCCCAUACUGGAACUGGGGGCAGUGGAGGGGAUGCCAUGUGGAAAAUUGGUUGCCAAACUGAGGCCUCAGAAAUGAAUGUGAAAUAAACCUUCUCCUUCACAAAUA